RNAcentral lists this ribosomal RNA (127 nucleotides) under Xylella fastidiosa. RNAcentral describes it as "partial 23S ribosomal RNA". It matches the Rfam family "Bacterial large subunit ribosomal RNA", at positions 1677 to 1790 of the family's 2925-position model. The record is from RNAcentral. Lineage: Bacteria; Pseudomonadati; Pseudomonadota; Gammaproteobacteria; Lysobacterales; Lysobacteraceae.
AAUUCUCAGGCGCUUGAGAGAACUCGGGUGAAGGAACUAGGCAACAUGGCACCGUAACUUCGGGAGAAGGUGCACCCUUUUUGGUGGCGCGUGCGCGUUAUAGCUGAAGAGGGUCGCAGAAACCAGG